Molecule: small RNA, 56 nt
Filed under: Arabidopsis thaliana (thale cress)
Lineage: Eukaryota; Viridiplantae; Streptophyta; Magnoliopsida; Brassicales; Brassicaceae
Description: ATSL129180
Source: RNAcentral
GUUUCAGCCCUUCGGUCAAAUUCCUGCUCUCGAGGACGGUGAUUUGACGCUUUUCG